RNAcentral lists this transfer RNA (73 nucleotides) under Ixodes scapularis (black-legged tick). Its description in RNAcentral is "tRNA-Thr for anticodon UGU". It matches the Rfam family "tRNA". From Rfam's summary of the family: Transfer RNA (tRNA) molecules are approximately 80 nucleotides in length. Their secondary structure includes four short double-helical elements and three loops (D, anti-codon, and T loops). Further hydrogen bonds mediate the characteristic L-shaped molecular structure. tRNAs have two regions of fundamental functional importance: the anti-codon, which is responsible for specific mRNA codon recognition, and the 3' end, to which the tRNAs corresponding amino acid is attached (by aminoacyl-tRNA synthetases). tRNAs cope with the degeneracy of the genetic code in two manners: having more than one tRNA (with a specific anti-codon) for a particular amino acid; and 'wobble' base-pairing, i.e. permitting non-standard base-pairing at the 3rd anti-codon position. The record is from RNAcentral. Lineage: Eukaryota; Metazoa; Arthropoda; Arachnida; Ixodida; Ixodidae.
UCCUGGUUAGCUGAGGUGGUAGAGCGCUCCACCUGUAAUGGAGAGGUCCCGGGUUCGAUACCAGGACCAGGCG